AGAGUUUGAUCCUGGCUCAGGACGAACGCUGGCGGCGUGCCUAAUACAUGCAAGUCGAACGAAGCUUUCUUUCACCGAAUGCUUGCAUUCACCGAAAGAAGCUUAGUGGCGAACGGGUGAGUAACACGUAGGCAACCUGCCCAAAAGAGGGGGAUAACACUUGGAAACAGGUGCUAAUACCGCAUAACCAUGAACACCGCAUGAUGUUCGUGUAAAAGACGGCUUUUGCUGUCACUUUUGGAUGGGCCUGCGGCGUAUUAACUUGUUGGUGGGGUAACGGCCUACCAAGGUGAUGAUACGUAGCCGAACUGAGAGGUUGAUCGGCCACAUUGGGACUGAGACACGGCCCAAACUCCUACGGGAGGCAGCAGUAGGGAAUCUUCCACAAUGGACGAAAGUCUGAUGGAGCAACGCCGCGUGAAUGAAGAAGGCCUUCGGGUCGUAAAAUUCUGUUGUCAGAGAAGAAUGUGCGUGAGAGUAACUGUUCACGUAUUGACGGUAUCUGACCAGAAAGCCACGGCUAACUACGUGCCAGCAGCCGCGGUAAUACGUAGGUGGCAAGCGUUGUCCGGAUUUAUUGGGCGUAAAGGGAACGCAGGCGGUCUUUUAAGUCUGAUGUGAAAGCCUUCGGCUUAACCGAAGUAGUGCAUUGGAAACUGGAAGACUUGAGUGCAGAAGAGGAGAGUGGAACUCCAUGUGUAGCGGUGAAAUGCGUAGAUAUAUGGAAGAACACCAGUGGCGAAAGCGGCUCUCUGGUCUGUAACUGACGCUGAGGUUCGAAAGCGUGGGUAGCAAACAGGAUUAGAUACCCUGGUAGUCCACGCCGUAAACGAUGAGUGCUAAGUGUUGGAGGGUUUCCGCCCUUCAGUGCUGCAGCUAACGCAUUAAGCACUCCGCCUGGGGAGUACGGUCGCAAGACUGAAACUCAAAGGAAUUGACGGGGGCCCGCACAAGCGGUGGAGCAUGUGGUUUAAUUCGAAGCAACGCGGAGAACCUUACCUGAUCUUGACAUCCCGAUGACCGCUUCGUAAUGGAAGCUUUUCUUCGGAACAUCGGUGACAGGUGGUGCAUGGUUGUCGUCAGCUCGUGUCGUGAGAUGUUGGGUUAAGUCCCGCAACGAGCGCAACCCCUAUCUUCAGUAGCCAGCAGGUUAAGCUGGGCACUCUGGAGAGACUGCCAGGGAUAACCUGGAGGAAGGUGGGGAUGACGUCAAAUCAUCAUGCCCCUUAUGACCAGGGCUACACACGUGCUACAAUGGCGUAAACAAAGAGAAGCGAACUCGCGAGGGUAAGCAAAUCUCAAAAAUAACGUCUCAGUUCGGAUUGUAGUCUGCAACUCGACUACAUGAAGCUGGAAUCGCUAGUAAUCGCAGAUCAGAAUGCUGCGGUGAAUACGUUCCCGGGUCUUGUACACACCGCCCGUCACACCAUGGGAGUCAGUAACGCCCGAAGUCAGUGACCCAACCGUAAGGAGGGAGCUGCCGAAGGUGGGACCGAUAACUGGGGUGAAGUCGUAACAAGGUA
This 1523-nucleotide ribosomal RNA is filed under the name metagenome. RNAcentral describes it as "bacterial SSU rRNA". It matches the Rfam family "Bacterial small subunit ribosomal RNA". The record is from RNAcentral.